UUUUCCUUCUUCUUCUUCUAAUUCUUUUCUUCUUCUCCUUUUUUCUUUUUCAUUUUUCCCUUCUUUUUCUCUUCUUUUUCUUCUAACCUAACUAACUAACCUAAUUGACCUAAAAACUAACAUAAUAAACUAACCUAAUGAAAAAUAAAACUAACCUAAUUAUAAAUUAACCAAAUUAACCGAAACAAAAAACAUAAAAAAUGGAAAAAG
This 210-nucleotide long non-coding RNA is filed under the name Hordeum vulgare. RNAcentral describes it as "long non-coding RNA (HVUL_LNC014833)". The record is from RNAcentral. Lineage: Eukaryota; Viridiplantae; Streptophyta; Magnoliopsida; Poales; Poaceae.